Molecule: ribosomal RNA, 253 nt
Filed under: uncultured bacterium
Lineage: Bacteria
Description: partial 16S ribosomal RNA
Rfam family: Bacterial small subunit ribosomal RNA
Source: RNAcentral
UACGGAGGGGGCUAGCGUUGUUCGGAAUUACUGGGCGUAAAGCGCACGUAGGCGGCUUUGUAAGUUAGAGGUGAAAGCCCAGGGCUUAACCCUGGAAUUGCCUUUAAGACUGCAUCGCUAGAAUCGUGGAGAGGUAAGUGGAAUUCCGAGUGUAGAGGUGAAAUUCGUAGAUAUUCGGAAGAACACCAGUGGCGAAGGCGGCUCACUGGCUGAACACUGACGCUAAAGCGCGAAAGCGUGGGGAGCAAACAGG